GCUCAGGCCUCCUCCCCUGAGACUAGUAAAGGCACAUUCAGGAUGCAGGCUCUUGAGCCCAGCUGUCAGAGCUGUCAGCCUGCCUAAGCAGGAAAAAAACGGUGUGAGUCGAGUCGACCUGGUAUUGGAAAAAAGGCUACCUGUGAAAACCUACUCUGUAACCCUGAAAGUCUCAGCCCAGGGCCCUUAGGGCUGUCUCGAUGGUCGAGUCCCUCUGGAGGAGGAGGAGUUUUGAGACUGUGAGGUGGUUGCAGGAAACUCCUCUUUGGACUCCCUUCCUGAAAGAGGCUGUGAAGAGGAAUCAGGUCCCAUCAGGAUUGGAAUAUUUUCCUGUGAAAUUGUGGAACCCCAUCCACCCAUCACCAGAUAGAAUCUUGACACCUAUCUGAUUUUAUUGCUGCUCACACUCUGUGUCUGAGCAUGAAAUCUUAAGAUGAUUGAGACAUGAACCCUCAUGAUGUGAAGCACCUGCUUGGCUGGAAACCAAAUUCGAGGUGAAGUUGUGGACCCUAUCCACUUCUCACCAGACUGUAUCUUCACCAUUAUCUGACCUUAUUGCUGGUAACACUGUAUAUCCCAGGAUGAAAUCCCAAUAUGGUGGAGGAGUUUCCCCUCACAACGUGAAGCACCUGCUCGGAUGGAAACCGAAUUCGAGGUGGAGUUGUUGGACCCCAUCCAUUUCCCACCUGAUUUUAUCCUCACCCCUAUGUGACCUUUUUGCUACACACACUUGAUGUUUCAGGAUGAAAUCUCAAGAUGAUAGAAGAGUGACUACUCAUGACAUGAACCACCUGCUUUGCUGGAAACUGAAUUCAAGAUGAAAGUGCCAGGCUCCAUCCAAGCCUCACCAGGUUGUAUCCUCAGCCCAAUGUGACCUUAUUGCUGCUCAGACUCUCUGUUCCAGAAUGAAAAUCCAAGGUGAUGGAGGAGUGUCUCAUCAUGAUGUGAAGCACCUGCUCACCUGGGAACUAAAUUGAAAGUAAAUACAAGUGGUCCUGUGGACAGGACUGCUAGUGUUUCUCCCUGUGUUUGCCAGAGGGCAAUAAAACACUCAGAGACAUCUGC
Molecule: long non-coding RNA, 1065 nt
Organism: Pan troglodytes (chimpanzee)
Lineage: Eukaryota; Metazoa; Chordata; Mammalia; Primates; Hominidae
Exons: 5
Source: RefSeq, a predicted model, not a curated record